UUAUGGAACUUCCAAUUGAACACGGGGCUACUUCUGGAUAACCUUUUAGAUCGUUAUGGUAUGGAUUUGGCCCGGUGAUGAUGCUCCAAUGGCCAACCUUCCUUCUUUAUUACCUCCUUCAGGAUUUGAAAUCCAUGCCGAGGUGUACUUUAAUGGAAUUGAAAUUGUUUCAUAUCUGGUGGUUACAAGUUUCACAUCAAUCAUGCUUGCAUGAUCUUUUGUGAGAGUUUGUAUUUUAUCUUUUCUCCCAUGUCCUUGGAUGACAGAUCGUUAUGGAACUCUUAAUUGAACAUGGGCUACUUCUGGAUAACCUUUUAGAUCUAGCACAUGCUCCAUUUACCCACACUUCUACCUUUGCCAAGGGCUGGGUUGUUCCCAGCUUGGUGAAGUUUUUAACAGCUGCAUCUGGCCUCCAAGGAUACUGGGACACUCAUCCAAUGGAUAUGGAAUUUUGACCUCCAUGAUCAACCAUGGGGAUUCCAAAACCUGGAAAGUCGGAAGGACAGAUUACCAGACAGUGUUCAACACAUCUUCAUCAACUUCAUGUCUGCUUACCUUCAUCGAGGAAGAAAACAAGGUUGUCAUAUAGAAUGUCAAUGGACUUCGCUUCUGUUUAAAAGCACAUCCCCUCAGCUCAAUGCUUGUAGGGGCAUUUUGCAGAACAGGAAAACAUUGUUUUCUCUGGCCUAUCCUUUCGCCCAAGUAGGGGUUCUGGGUUGGUUUAACAAGAAUAAAACUCACCCAUAUGUAUCCUUUUGCCUAAUGUGAAGGUUGGUUGGGUUCUGGGAUACUAUGAUCAGAUUUAUAGCUACUGUACCAAUUACAUCAAUGUUUCGUUUUAUAUAGUCUUACUAUUUGAUUCUAAGUUA
Mangifera indica (mango) is the source of this 869-nucleotide long non-coding RNA. RefSeq lists it as uncharacterized. The record is from RefSeq and is a predicted model, not a curated record. The transcript has 2 exons. NCBI's taxonomy places the organism in Eukaryota, Viridiplantae, Streptophyta, Magnoliopsida, Sapindales, Anacardiaceae.